GGUCAGAGCUUUAAGCCAAUAAUUGAACUUUUCUUGCUACUGUGGUACAGUUAGUUCCCUGCUCAUGCUUUUAGCUGCCAAAGCCCCUUCCUUUCUUUCUUUCAUCGCUGAUCCUUAAGAUGCACGCAUCGGGGCAGCAACAAGGGCCCACCCCACUGAGCAAGCUCCUGUACUGUACGGAGCACAAGCAGUUCAUUGGGCUCGAUUUUCGCAAUCAUACUGGUUCCACCAAUUACCGUCUAGAAUUCGACAGUUCCGAGAUCGGGCCAGAACCGUAGUAUGCUAAGAUCUACUGUAGGCAACAUUUUCCGCAGUUCCAGAGAUAUUUCAACGGCGAAAGCUUGUUCCUUUUGUCUUGGCGGAUAUGGCCAAGUUAUUGGUAAAGCCCGCAGUCAAAGGAACCGGUGAUCAAACCCAUUUCACUCCCUCUCUUUCUCUCUCUGUUUGUGCGUGGAGGAAACGUGCCCGCCCGCUCACGUUCCGUUUGGGCGGGUAAACAACUCAUGGAGUUAGCAUGCGAAGCUGCAGGGAGGUGGUGACUGGUGGGGUCCACGCUUGCGCAUGGAGGAUUUACCAUUGGACCUAAUGAUUGUGACCAAAAAGGGAAAAUAUGGAAGGAAGUCUUAAGAAGUUGUGGCAUUCACAGGAGGGUUGGAAGCUGGUAUUAUGAGCUCAAUUGGGCUGUCAUGAAUCUCAAAGGCAAAGCAUUCACAAGUCGCUCCUCAAGAUUGCAUGGAAUUCAUAUGUUUACACGAUUGGCUUUUUGGAGACAAAAUGAUCUCUCUGCAGCAAGUUUGGAUUUCUAUUCGAAAUACAGUGCAGGGAAGACUUCUGGCCAUUCUUGACUUAGAGAAAAUGAUAAGGAAUGAGGCACAGAAGAAGCUCUUAACUCUUAAGGGAUUGGGGCGUUUUCAGAUAGUUAUUGCUGCUGUAUUUCGUUUAGAGCUCUUCUAGGGGCUUUUGUGUGGGCCGGCGUGCCCGUUGGAAUUUAAUGCCUUGUACUGGACUGAGGCCUGCUACUGUAGGCUCGAUUGUAUUUGGUCGUUUUAUCAAUAAGCGCUAAGCUGGUUUCGACCAAAAAAAAAAUUUGUUUCUCCAAUUCUAUUGCGAUUGGAGAUCUUUGUACCCAUA
Non-coding RNA from Punica granatum (pomegranate), 1131 nucleotides. Lineage: Eukaryota; Viridiplantae; Streptophyta; Magnoliopsida; Myrtales; Lythraceae. The record is from RefSeq and is a predicted model, not a curated record.